This 449-nucleotide ribosomal RNA is filed under the name uncultured bacterium. RNAcentral's name for it is "partial 16S ribosomal RNA". It matches the Rfam family "Bacterial small subunit ribosomal RNA", at positions 29 to 523 of the family's 1533-position model. The record is from RNAcentral.
AACGAACGCUGGCGGCAUGCCUGACACAUGCAAGUCGAACGAGAUCUUCGGGUCUAGUGGCGCACGGGUGCGUAACGCGUGGGAAUCUGCCCUUUGGUUCGGAAUAACAGUUGGAAACGACUGCUAAUACCGGAUGAUGACGAAAGUCCAAAGAUUUAUCGCCAGAGGAUGAGCCCGCGUAGGAUUAGCUAGUUGGUGUGAUAAAGGCGCACCAAGGCGACGAUCCUUAGCUGGUCUGAGAGGAUGAUCAGCCACACUGGGACUGAGACACGGCCCAGACUCCUACGGGAGGCAGCAGUGGGGAAUAUUGGACAAUGGGCGAAAACCUGAUCCAGCAAUGCCGCGUGAGUGAUGAAGGCCUUAGGGUUGUAAAGCUCUUUUACCCGGGAUGAUAAUGACAGUACUGGGAGAAUAAGCUCCGGCUAACUCCGUGCCAGCCGCCGCCGUAA